GACGUAGGGCGCGAGCGUUGUUCGGAUUCAUUGGGCGUAAAGGGCGCGUAGGCGGCGCGGGCAGUCAACGGUGAAAGCUUGGGGCUCAACCCCGAGUCGGCCGUCGAUACUCCCGUGCUUGAGCACUGUAGAGGCAGGUGGAAUUCCGGGUGUAGCGGUGGAAUGCGUAGAGAUCCGGAAGAACACCGGUGGCGAAGGCGGCCUGCUGGGCAGUAGCUGACGCUGAGGCGCGACAGCGUGGGGAGCAAACAGG
RNAcentral lists this ribosomal RNA (253 nucleotides) under uncultured bacterium. Its description in RNAcentral is "partial 16S ribosomal RNA". It matches the Rfam family "Bacterial small subunit ribosomal RNA", at positions 524 to 776 of the family's 1533-position model. The record is from RNAcentral.